RNAcentral lists this ribosomal RNA (440 nucleotides) under uncultured bacterium. RNAcentral's name for it is "partial 16S ribosomal RNA". It matches the Rfam family "Bacterial small subunit ribosomal RNA", at positions 338 to 795 of the family's 1533-position model. The record is from RNAcentral.
CCUACGGGAGGCAGCAGUAGGGAAUAUUGGUCAAUGGGGGAAAGCCUGAAGCAGCAACGCCGCGUGAAGGAUGAAGGUUUUCCGAUUGUUAACUCCUUUUGUUAGAGAAGAUAAUUACGGUAUCUAACCAAUAAUCACCGGCUAACUCGGUUCCAGCAGCCGCGGUAAUACGGAGGGUGCAAGCGUUACUCGGAAUCACUGGGCGUAAAGGGGGCGUAGGCGGGAUAGCAAGUCAGAUGUGAAAUCCUACGGCUUAACCAUAGAAUUGCAUUUGAAACUGUUAUUCUUGAGUAUGGGAGAGGUAGGUGGAAUUCUUGGUGUAGGGGUAAAAUCCGUAGAGAUCAAGAGGAAUACUCAUUGCGAAGGCGACCUGCUAGAACGUAACUGACGCUGAUGCGCGAAAGCGUGGGGAGCAAACAGGAUUAGAUACCCUUGUAGUC